AACGCACAUUGCGCCCCUUGGUAUUCCAUGGGGCAUGCCUGUUCGAGCGUCAUUUGUACCUUCAAGCUCUGCUUGGUGUUGGGUGUUUGUCUCGCCUCUGCGCGCAGACUCGCCUCAAAACGAUUGGCAGCCGGCGUAUUGAUUUCGGAGCGCAGUACAUCUCGCGCUUUGCACUCACAACGACGACGUCCACAAAGUACAUUUUUUACACUCUUGACCUCGGAUCAGGUAGGGAUACCCGCUGAACUUAA
Molecule: unclassified non-coding RNA, 251 nt
Filed under: uncultured Pleosporales
Lineage: Eukaryota; Fungi; Ascomycota; Dothideomycetes; Pleosporales
Description: sequence contains 5.8S rRNA gene, ITS2, 28S rRNA gene
Source: RNAcentral